RNAcentral lists this ribosomal RNA (506 nucleotides) under uncultured bacterium. RNAcentral's name for it is "partial 16S ribosomal RNA". It matches the Rfam family "Bacterial small subunit ribosomal RNA", at positions 29 to 523 of the family's 1533-position model. The record is from RNAcentral.
AGUGAACGCUGGCGGUAGGCCUAACGCAUGCGAGUCGAACGGCAGCACAGGAGAGCUUGCUCUCUGGGUGGCGAGUGGCGGACGGGUGAGGAAUACAUCGGAAUCUACUCUGUCGUGGGGGAUAACGUAGGGAAACUUACGCUAAUACCGCAUACGACCUACGGGUGAAAGCAGGGGACCUUCGGGCCUUGCGCGAUUGAAUGAGCCGAUGUCGGAUUAGCUAGUUGGCGGGGUAAAGGCCCACCAAGGCGACGAUCCGUAGCUGGUCUGAGAGGAUGAUCAGCCACACUGGAACUGAGACACGGUCCAGACUCCUACGGGAGGCAGCAGUGGGGAAUAUUGGACAAUGGGCGCAAGCCUGAUCCAGCCAUACCGCGUGGGUGAAGAAGGCCUUCGGGUUGUAAAGCCCUUUUGUUGGGAAAGAAAUCCAGCUGGCUAAUACCCGGUUGGGAUGACGGUACCCAAAGAAUAAGCACCGGCUAACUUCGUGCCAGCAGCCGCAGUAA